This 447-nucleotide ribosomal RNA is filed under the name uncultured bacterium. RNAcentral describes it as "bacterial SSU rRNA". It matches the Rfam family "Bacterial small subunit ribosomal RNA", at positions 329 to 793 of the family's 1533-position model. The record is from RNAcentral.
GGCCAGACUCCUACGGGAGGCAGCAGUGGGGAAUAUUGCACAAUGGGGGAAACCCUGAUGCAACGACGCCGCGUGAGUGAAGAAGUAUUUCGGUAUGUAAAGCUCUAUCAGCAGGGAAGAUAAUGACGGUACCUGAGUAAGAAGCCCCGGCUAACUACGUGCCAGCAGCCGCGGUAAUACGUAGGGGGCAAGCGUUAUCCGGAUUUACUGGGUGUAAAGGGAGCGUAGACGGCAUGGCAAGUCUGAAGUGAAAGCCCGGGGCUCAACCGCGGGACUGCUUUGGAAACUGUUAAGCUGGAGUGCAGGAGAGGUAAGUGGAAUUCCUAGUGUAGCGGUGAAAUGCGUAGAUAUUAGGAGGAACACCAGUGGCGAAGGCGGCUUACUGGACUGUAACUGACGUUGAGGCUCGAAAGCGUGGGGAGCAAACAGGAUUAGAUACCCUGGUAC